CAACCUCAAACUAAUACAUUGCUGUUCACAGGUUUAAGGUUGUGGUUUAUUUAUUUAAAGUGCAUCCAAUUUCAUUGGUAAAAACAACGUUAUUUUGUGUAUUUGGUACAAUACAAUGUGUUUGUGUGGUUUAUGGUUAAAAACACAUACAUUUUUAUAGCUUUGGAUUUCCUCCCUUCCUCAAACGCAUUGAUUUUGUACAGAACUCAUCGAUCUGAAAUGCACUGUGUCCCUGAUUGGCCAGCUAAUCUGUACGUUGUGAUUGGCCUGAAUGCCUCUAAUGUCAGCCGGAAAUGUGACGCUCCUGUUUGAAAGAUUCGGUCACAAUGCAAUGCUGACAGCAGUUAAUGUGUAGGCUGUGAGUAAAAGCGGGAGGAAUUUAAGAGACAACGCAUUAUUUGAAAACCACACCCACCGGGGGAAAACAAUCCAACCGUCUCCGGAUACACAUCAUAAGAUAACUACAGCUUACAUCUCAGUUUGGAUCCAGCUCUUACUUGUGAAGACUUCAGAUGAUGUAAACACUCACAAAGACAAUAUAUGAUGGCUUCUAUAGAUGGACAUACACAACUGGCAAAUGUGAUAUAUUGUAAUUACUGCACCAAAGCACAACCCUACAGAUUUUCAACCCACUUAAUAUUGUUACAAAUACAAUACAUGUUUAUAUUUAUAAAAAACAUACAUUUUUUUACUCUUUCUUCUUUAGCUAAUUUUAAUGAUUUAUUUCCAUUUAUUUGUCCUCAAUACUCUGCCAAAAUGAUGUUUUGCAUCAUCCAAAUAUUGUUAAUUUACAUAUUACAGACAUUGUAACAACACAAAGUGGGUUGAAAUCCUGCUAACUUACCCUAUAAUAAUAACUGUCUGUUAACUAAACAUGGCUUUAACACAUGUCUUGUAUUGUAUUAGAGCUGUUGUGAUAUGAAUAUUGAUUUGUUUCCAGAAUACGCUCCUCAGUGUGUCACAUUUACUUCGGGCUGAUUAAGGGAUCUUUUGUAACCUUGACACAUGCAUUUUCUUAAAAUGGCAUGUAUUGUGAAGCACAAUAUACCCUAUCAUGGUUUUACUUUGGUGAAACUGCAGAUCAAUUUUUAAACUAAGGUUUUGUUGCCGUGGUUCUACUAUACUGCCCUACAAAGGCUAAGUGCAGUAACUACGCAAACACUGAAACUGAGAAAAAUGCCCUUAAAGUUUUUUACAUCAGCCAGUCAAACAUGUAACUGCAAUUUUGCCAAACACAUUUCUCUGAUGGGACAAAUUAAACCAGGAUACAUUGUCACAAGACACAUCAGAUCUCACAAAGCCCAUUUCAACCUUUAACUCAAUUUUGACCAAAUGCAUAGUUACUGUGCUUUGGCUUUGUAGGGCAGUAUAGUAGUAUUAUAGUAAUGCUGGAGUGAAACCAUGGUAACCAUACAUUUUUAAAUCAUGGUAAAGUUUGUGGUUACUAAAAUGUAAUUCUAACCUAUGCUGUUGUAAGAGAGUGUUUAUUCUUUAUUAUUGUUGUAAAACCAUGGUUGAUUUUAUAUUUACCAUGUUUUACUGCAAAUGUAAAAUCAUGGAUAACUUUGCAUGGGUACAGAAAAGUGUAAACUGGUUGUUUUUAUUUGUAAGUCACGUUGGUUUUAAUGCAUCUGAUAAAUAAUGUAUAUGCAUUUGGAUAUUUAUUCUGUUUACUGACAAUAAUAAAUUUGCAGUUGCUGA
Molecule: non-coding RNA, 1701 nt
Organism: Misgurnus anguillicaudatus (oriental weatherfish)
Lineage: Eukaryota; Metazoa; Chordata; Actinopteri; Cypriniformes; Cobitidae
Source: RefSeq, a predicted model, not a curated record